RNAcentral lists this transfer RNA (26 nucleotides) under Canis lupus (wolf). RNAcentral describes it as "partial tRNA-Ile". The record is from RNAcentral. Lineage: Eukaryota; Metazoa; Chordata; Mammalia; Carnivora; Canidae. RNAcentral also lists the same sequence under 1 other name.
AGAAAUAUGUCUGAUAAAAGAGUUAC